Molecule: ribosomal RNA, 468 nt
Filed under: uncultured bacterium
Lineage: Bacteria
Description: partial 16S ribosomal RNA
Rfam family: Bacterial small subunit ribosomal RNA
Source: RNAcentral
GACGAACGCUGGCGGCGUGCUUAACACAUGCAAGUCGAACGGAAAGGCCCUGCUUUUGUGGGGUGCUCGAGUGGCGAACGGGUGAGUAACACAUGAGUAACCUGCCCUUGACUUUGGGAUAACUUCAGGAAACUGGGGCUAAUACCGGAUAGGAGCUCCUGCUGCAUGGUGGGGGUUGGAAAGUUUCGGCGGUUGGGGAUGGACUCGCGGCUUAUCAGCUUGUUGGUGGGGUAGUGGCUUACCAAGGCUUUGACGGGUAGCCGGCCUGAGAGGGUGACCGGCCACAUUGGGACUGAGAUACGGCCCAGACUCCUACGGGAGGCAGCAGUGGGGAAUAUUGCACAAUGGGCGGAAGCCUGGUGCAGCAACGCCGCGUGCGGGAUGACGGCCUUCGGGUUGUAAACCGCUUUCGCCUGUGACGAAGCGUGAGUGACGGUAAUGGGUAAAGAAGCACCGGCUAACUACGUG